AACAAUAGUAACCGAGCAAACAAUUAUUAAAUAUUCAAAUGAAAAACAUGACUACUUCAAGGCCAGAUGCAAGUGGUUGACGUGUCUUGUCUGGGGAAGAAGGAUUCACCAGGGAGAAGCGCGAAAAGCUCGCAGAAAGAUUCGCCAGAAACACGUCUCUCGCAAGGCUGAAUAAGGGCAAGGGAAAAUUGAUCAUUUUCAUAGUGUGACAUCAUAGUGAAAAUGAUACCAAUGGAAUGGACUCGGCGAGACGAAAAUGAGGGCUUUGGACUCACAUGAUUCGGAGUUACGGGCGCGAAGAUAUGGAUAGCAGAAGAUCGGGGACUAAUCUAUAAAAUAAAUAUCUACAAACCAGCCCCUAACUGAUAAAACAGAAAACACCUUUCUCGGGAAUACGCCUUCUGCAAAUAGAAAACGCACUUCAACCCGAAGAAGAAGCAGAGCACGCUUCCAGAAAGGGAAAACACACUCUGGGAAAAGGCGCCUCCACAUAAAAGGGGUCGGGCCCAGCUGUUGGUGGCACAUACCCCUUCGUCGUGUCUAUGACAUGCGGGGCUCACCCAGUGUCUCUCGCCUCACAUGUCUUCUUCUUCUAGCUCCCGACAGAGGGCGGGGGGCUCGGACGUCAGCGAUUAGGGCUCCCUACCGCUCCCCGGAGCGAGCCUACGAGCGCAGCGGCUUGCCCACGCCUCGCCGCAUCCAAGGGUGGACAUGGAGCUGCCUGGGAUGGCUCCCCAUUGCAGCACCAUGAGGAAGGAGCGGCGACCUUCGGGUGUCGGGUGGAGCGGCGCGUGAAGGCCUCCUCGCCGGAGUUGGAGGGAGGCGGCAACUCGCGGAGGUCUAGGGGUGUCUCAAGGACACAAAGAAGGAGGGAGGGGCUGGAGGCGAGGGGAACCGAGGCGGGGCGACGAUGGCCGUCGGCCAUAGGUGAGGAGG
Molecule: long non-coding RNA, 936 nt
Filed under: Hordeum vulgare
Lineage: Eukaryota; Viridiplantae; Streptophyta; Magnoliopsida; Poales; Poaceae
Description: long non-coding RNA (HVUL_LNC010488)
Source: RNAcentral